Oryzias melastigma (Indian medaka) is the source of this 2831-nucleotide long non-coding RNA. RefSeq lists it as uncharacterized. The transcript is spliced from 2 exons. The record is from RefSeq and is a predicted model, not a curated record. Lineage: Eukaryota; Metazoa; Chordata; Actinopteri; Beloniformes; Adrianichthyidae.
GAUUUAGUAAAACUCACUCUUUGUUAGUGUUUCCACCAUGAAUUGUUUCAUAAGCCACCUUAUGGAGAAAACGAUGGCAGUGCUUUUUAGGAUAACAACCCCCCCAAUCCAGCAUUCUAGUUUCAGCACUUUUUGCCGUUAAAGAGUAAUGAGGAACAGAAGGACAGUGCCCCCCCACACCCCCUCCCCACCUUCCCAUCUUCACAAACUAUCAACUUUGGGGACUGAAUGUAUUCUUCGCUAGAUAAUUAAUGGCUACAGACAAAUGGUGGUUGAUUGAGCGACUCAUCCCUCUAUUUUCAAUCACCAUCUGCUGUGUGUUGCCGGCAAAAAACAAUGUUAAUUACCUCGAGUGUGCCCAAGAUGUGGCGUAUUAAUUAGAAAAAAAAAAAAGGGAAAUCUAAAAGAUUCCAUUAUUUUAGUGUUUUUAACGAAGGGCUUGUGUUCAUAGAUUUUGUUGAUGGAUUAACGCAGGAAUUCAAUCCAGAAGGAAAUCAUUUGUUAAUUUAGCCUUUUUGCCAUUUGCUAACAGAUCGGUGUCGCUUUGAGGCACUUUCACUUACCUGCCUCCUGUGCCUGCCGGCCAUGACAGGCCUUUAAGAAUGCUGGGGCUGGCAACUCUAUGCCACACAGACGGGACAUCAGCAGAAAGAUGAAUCUCCACUGUGACCGCAGGGACAGCCAGCUGACAGAAAGCGUUAAGGUUCUGGAUGCAGACGGUCGGGCUUUUUCAGAGGGGGCAUCACCUGACCAAAAAAAGAAACGGAAAAAAAAAGGAAAGGUGAAUAGAGAAGAGAGACGAGGCGGUACUUAAUCGGCAUGACAAGGCUUUGAUGGUAUUCUUUGGGCCAAAACUGUGAUGGCUCCCUGUGAACACUCCCCCACCGCUCCCCUUCUCCAAAGUUUGUAGGUGGUGUGAGGGUUGAUCCUGACAGGCCCAGCUUUGUACGACAUCACAAACGAGCUGAUGCAGAGAGCAGCAUGUAAAUGUGGAGACGAUGUGAGCAGCACAUCGAUGGUAAUUAUAUAGCAAUCAUAGAAUAGCAUCAAUAACAAUUAGCAUAAUUUCCAUGACUUCGGUACUUAAUGGCUUCAUUCCAAAUACCGACAAAUCAAACAUGAUUAUUUCCUUCACAUAAAUAGGUAUUUACAGUCUGCACUAGACUGGAUUAAGAACAUUAAGCAGUUUGGAUAAAAUACAGCAGGCCACAGGAUUACCAAGAUUUAUAACGGAAAAAUGGAAUAAUGGACGAAACUGGAACUAAAUCAGUUACCCCCUAAAAACAAAAACACUUUAACUUUUUACACAUGCAGGUCAGUCCUCAUUCCAAUACAAAACUGCCCAACUCUAGUUGGGAUAAACACACAAAUACCAUUGACUGUAUAUAGGAAUUGGACAGAGUGAGUGUCACCCAUAGAAAAUUAUUCGACUACUUUCGGCCCUAUGAAAUGAAGUAAAUUUGUAGCAAUGUUUACAUUUAAAUUUGAACAGGAAUGUCUUUUUACUGAUGGAAUAAAAAUAGAAUUCAGUAAUGGCUUUCUACGUGAUAACCCUGGUUAAAAUGGUCCUGUAUGUUUUCUUUUGUCUGAGUUUAUGUUCAAAUGAAUGGUGGUGGACUUUUCACCUACAGCAUAAGAGGAGCUUUGGACUACAAACAUGGCUACUUGGGGACUUCCUGUCACACAGGUGCUUUGCCAAUUACAAACAUUACAAAUGAGAGGAGAGUCUCUCAGAAAUCAGCUGGGAGAGGCCUGACCAGAGUGAAGAUUCCGGAGUGAGCCACACACAACGUGACAGCUGCAAAACACGCACUGUUAAGGAUUACCAAGAUGCUGGAGGAAAGUACCAACCGCUUUGGUGGAAGAUGUUGGAAAUGUAUCUACCAAUGGGGGAGACCUUCACUGGACAGAUCCGUUUCAAAGCUGUUCCAUCAGUUCCAACCAGAGCUGCGUGACAGAUGUUUGAACGGCAGGCUUCUGCCCUGACCGAAGGAGCAGUCAUUUUUGGAAGAGUGCCACUCAAUUCCAGCUGGGAUGCAUUCACUCAAGGCAAGUUGAAAUAUUACAUCUCAUAUUUGUUUAGUUUUUUUUUUAUUCCAAUUACAUCAUAGGUCAUACAUUUGCAAAACCAUUUGGACAAACUAAGAUAUUUCCAUUGAUGAAAAUACUUUUCCAUGUCGUCUUUUGAAAUUGGAAAAGGCUGGACAAAGGUUGGGGUCGGCGAGUGUGGACUUGAAAAGGAGAAUCAAAGGCAAAUCUCUGUGGACUGCAGCUAUUACUUUGUAACAAAUAGAGGAAAAGGUCUCCCUGUGGAAUACGUGCCCUGUGUGGGUGAAAGCUUCGCCCACGCGAAAUGAUGGCACAGCAGGGCUGUGGCCCCAGGCCCUUCAGCUGUACCUUUGUAGUCACGGACCGAGAAACACGCCCACCAGAGAGGUCUAUGAAAGUAUCGUCUUCAACAAUAAAGUUUUCAGUGGGACACGCUUCAGUCCAUGGACAAAGUCCCACUCCGACAACUUUGGUUCACCCUUGAGCUCGUGUGAACACAGAGUACCUGCGCAGCGACACACUGUGUGUGUUGUUGUGUGUGGUUGCAUGCCGCCUGCCUGCGUCAAACAGCUCUAUUUGAGGUGGCAGGCACAGGUGCGCUAACGGCAUGGCAGGCUGCAGCAGGUUAUUGGCCGACAGAUGGAGCGGAAGGCGGGGGGCGCGGGGAUGAUUGCCGGGUGGAGGGGUGGAAGUUGGAGAAGAUGGGGGCGGCCACUAAAACUGUUGGGGUUUGGGUCUAUUGGAGGAGUAGCAACCUACUUAAAAUGAAAAAAAAAAAAAAA